GGAGGUGGGGGUGAUCUGACUGUGACAUCUGUCACCACAUUGAUCGCCAGGGUUGAUGUGGCUGAUCUGGCUGGUUAGGCGGGUGUUCCCUUCCUCCUCAGUGCUCCAUGUGUGCCUCUCCUAAAGCUGUGUGCUCAGUUGAAGAAGACAACCACCCUUCAAACAGGAGGACCAUUCCUUGGUCAAGGGUAUAUGAGUAACUGCACUCCCCUGCUAGAACCUCCAAACAAACUCUCAAAUUUAUUAUUAAAAAGUUAUAGUAUAAGGCUAGGGAGAUAGCUCAGCAGUCUAAACACCUUGACCAGGGUUCGAUCCCCAGU
RNAcentral lists this small nuclear RNA (320 nucleotides) under Octodon degus (degu). RNAcentral describes it as "7SK RNA (ENSODEG00000024069.1)". It matches the Rfam family "7SK RNA". From Rfam's summary of the family: 7SK was discovered as an abundant small nuclear RNA in the mid-70s but a possible function has only recently been suggested. Two independent studies have found that 7SK RNA binds the CDK9/cyclin T complex (known as elongation factor P-TEFb). Lineage: Eukaryota; Metazoa; Chordata; Mammalia; Rodentia; Octodontidae. The record is from Rfam by way of RNAcentral.